GACGAACGCUGGCGGCGUGCUUAACACAUGCAAGUCGAACGGAAAGGCCUUUUCGGAGGUACUCGAGUGGCGAACGGGUGAGUAACACGUGGGUGAUCUGCCCUGCACUCUGGGAUAAGCCUGGGAAACUGGGUCUAAUACCGGAUAGGACCGCACUUUAGUGUGUGUGGUGGAAAGUUUUUUCGGUGUAGGAUGAGCCCGCGGCCUAUCAGCUUGUUGGUGGGGUAAUGGCCUACCAAGGCGGCGACGGGUAGCCGGACUGAGAGGUUGGUCGGCCACAUUGGGACUGAGAUACGGCCCAGACUCCUACGGGAGGCAGCAGUGGGGAAUAUUGCACAAUGGGCGCAAGCCUGAUGCGGCGACGCCGCGUGGGGGAUGACGGCCUUCGGGUUGUAAACUCCUUUCGCCAGGGACGAAGCGUUUUGUGACGGUACCUGGAGAAGAAGCACCGGCUAACUACGUG
This 463-nucleotide ribosomal RNA is filed under the name uncultured bacterium. Its description in RNAcentral is "partial 16S ribosomal RNA". It matches the Rfam family "Bacterial small subunit ribosomal RNA", at positions 28 to 507 of the family's 1533-position model. The record is from RNAcentral.